UACGUAGGGGGCAAGCGUUGUCCGGAAUCAUUGGGCGUAAAGAGCGCGUAGGCGGCCCUGUAAGUCCGCUGUGAAAGUCAAGGGCUCAACCCUUGGAUGCCGGUGGAUACUGCAGGGCUAGAGUCCGGAAGAGGCGAGUGGAAUUCCUGGUGUAGCGGUGAAAUGCGCAGAUAUCAGGAGGAACACCGAUGGCGAAGGCAGCUCGCUGGGACGGUACUGACGCUGAGGCACGAAAGCGUGGGGAGCAAACAGG
Molecule: ribosomal RNA, 253 nt
Filed under: uncultured bacterium
Lineage: Bacteria
Description: partial 16S ribosomal RNA
Rfam family: Bacterial small subunit ribosomal RNA
Source: RNAcentral